Molecule: RNA transcript, 1608 nt
Organism: Phalaenopsis equestris
Lineage: Eukaryota; Viridiplantae; Streptophyta; Magnoliopsida; Asparagales; Orchidaceae
Gene name: nudix hydrolase 9
Exons: 11
Source: RefSeq, a predicted model, not a curated record
ACAAUAAAAUGAUCUCGAAAGUGUUUGGUAUGAAGGAUCCCAUACUCGACGAUGAGCAAAGCUGGGAAUGAGCAGAAGCCCGUGAUGGAUCCGGGAUCCGCCUUUACACUGCUUCUAUCAUGCCCUGGCGGUCUCCCAAGAUCAAGAGUAUAUGUUGACUUCGGCGUAUCAUAUGACAGGAUUCCUCACCCAGAUGCUGACUUGGAGGAAUCCAUAAAUGAGAUAUGGACCUGUCAAGUUGAAAAGAAGCCAUCACUAUAUAAUGGCAAGAAAUUCAGAUAUGGGGGAUACACACUUCAUCAUGCAGAGGGUGGCAAUAAAUCCUCUUUAUGCCUUCAAUUGGGUCUAACAGAUUACAGGACAUUUGUUGGCACAAACUUGAGCCCUCUCUGGGAGGAUUUCCUUGUUUCCUCUGAAGAUGGUUCCGUAACUUGUCAAUACUUGGCUAAUCCCCUGGGUAAUGGAGCUAUUGUUGAAACAAUUAAUAAAAGGGUACUUGUCUUGCAAAGAAGUCACAAUGUUGGCGAGUUUCCAGGAUACUUCGUUUUUCCCGGAGGCCAUUCAGAGCCUGCAGAAGUUGGCGUUUCAUCCCAUCAAACCAACAAAAUUUCAACAGAUCAUGAAGUAUUAAAUGGCAAGAUUUCUCAGGAGAUGUUUGAAGGUAUCAUUCGUGAAGUGGUUGAAGAAAUUGGAGUUCCUGCAGAAUCAUUGACUGAUCCCAUCUUUAUUGGAAUAUCAAGGAGGAACCUGAAUGUUAGGCCAACUGCAUUUUUCUUUAUUAAUUGUAGUCUUGGAUCGCACGAAAUUCAGCAGCUGUAUUCAAGAGCCCAAGAUGGUUAUGAAUCCAUCCAACUUUAUGAUGUUUCAAUGGAAGAGCUGCUGAAGAUGUCGGAGAGAAUGCCUGGUUGCCAUCGAGGUGGAUUUGCAUUAUAUGAGCAGAUGAUGAAAGCCAGCCAAGGCGACUUAUAAAUAUGAUUGGCAGGUCAUUCUCUUAACAAGUGUAACAUCGUGGUUUCACAACUUUAGUGGGAGCACCAUAGAGAAAGGCAUUACUUAUAUCUAUUUGCAAUAAUUGCCAACCUUGAUUGAAUAUGCCCCAGUGGUUUCUUCAUAAAAGACUUUAAUGAGAUCAUUAUAGAUGAAGGAAAGUUUGUCAAAACCGGCAGAAACACUGGCGGACAUGGCAUGUCGGUCUUUUUUGACAGAAAUUGUGGCUGAACUCCCGUAUUUUGAGUUUUUGGGUGAAAAAUCAACGGACGGUCUGUUUUUGGUAUGCUUGUCUUCGAUUGAAGUUGUCACGCUAAUCUGUUGGAAAACGGACGAACGGUCCGGAGGUUCUUGAUUUACUAGUAUUUGGCUGAAAUUGCCACCGAAAAACAGACGGAAGAUUAGCCAGUUCUCAGUGCACUUGUUUUGGGUAGAAAUUGCCGCCGAAAAUCAGCUAGUUUUCUACUUUGUAUUGAACAACCGCACGAAAGCCUUCAUUUGCUCUUCCCCUCCCUCCGCUUAUGCGAGCUCGCAGCCAACAUCCUGUCUAAAUUGAUUUGACCCAAAUCUCCACCGUUUCUCAGGUUUUUUGUGAAAUCUUUGUGAAACUUGCUCUCUAUC